RNAcentral lists this small RNA (29 nucleotides) under Bombyx mori (domestic silkworm). Its description in RNAcentral is "ovarian small RNA-17167". Lineage: Eukaryota; Metazoa; Arthropoda; Insecta; Lepidoptera; Bombycidae. The record is from RNAcentral.
GGAAAAGGAAACACUUACCUUAGAGUGGC